AGAGUUUGAUCAUGGCUCAGGAUGAACGCUAGCUACAGGCUUAACACAUGCAAGUCGAGGGGAAACGACAUCGAAAGCUUGCUUUUGAUGGGCGUCGACCGGCGCACGGGUGAGUAACGCAUAUCCAACCUGCCCAUCACUUGGGGAUAACCUUGCGAAAGUAAGACUAAUACCCAAUGACGUCUCUAGAAGACAUCUGAAAGAGAUUAAAGAUUUAUCGGUGAUGGAUGGGGAUGCGUCUGAUUAGCUUGUUGGCGGGGUAACGGCCACCAAGGCGACGAUCGAGUAGGGGUUCUGAGAGGAAGGUCCCCCCAUUGGAACUGAGACACGGUCCAAACUCCUACGGGAGGCA
RNAcentral lists this ribosomal RNA (352 nucleotides) under uncultured bacterium. RNAcentral's name for it is "bacterial SSU rRNA". It matches the Rfam family "Bacterial small subunit ribosomal RNA", at positions 8 to 350 of the family's 1533-position model. The record is from RNAcentral.